UGUUCCAGAUGUCAUGAUGUUGUUUUUUUAAUUAUUUUUUUUCUGGUGAUGGACACCCUCUCUCACAAUCCAUGCUCAGCUUUUGUUUCUCUCUCUCUUUCUUUUUCCCCUUUUCUAUCCAUUUUAUUCUGCAUGUUCCAGAUUUUUGGUUUUUUAAUUAUUUUUUGGUGGAAAGGCAUGCAUCAUUGCUGCCAGAUGUGGAUCAGGUAUGGUUUUUUAAUUAUUUUUUUAUGGAAAGGCAGGUACCAUUUGCUGCCAGGUGUGGAUUAGGUAAGGGAAAAACGCUGGAAUCGAAGAGGGAGUCAGAAUUUAAAAGAAGAUACACAUGAUGAACAGUAGCCCUCUCACAGGAUGAACAGUGGACGGGAACUGCUUUAGUAGAUAGCUACAACAAUAUAGAAAAAAAAAAGGAAACAGGAAAGUAUCAACCCGUGGCCUUUGAGGGCAAGGCAGUCUUUUCACUGUGGAAAAGAUGACAAAAAUUUGG
This 487-nucleotide long non-coding RNA is filed under the name Malus domestica (apple). RNAcentral describes it as "long non-coding RNA (MDOM_LNC011715)". The record is from RNAcentral. Lineage: Eukaryota; Viridiplantae; Streptophyta; Magnoliopsida; Rosales; Rosaceae.